UGGGGAAUUUUGGACAAUGGGGGCAACCCUGAUCCAGCAAUGCCGCGUGUGUGAAGAAGGCCUUCGGGUUGUAAAGCACUUUUGUCCGGAAAGAAAUCGCCCUGGCUAAUAUCCGGGGUGGAUGACGGUACUGGAAGAAUAAGCACCGGCUAACUACGUGCCAGCAGCCGCGGUAAUACGUAGGGUGCGAGCGUUAAAUCGGAAUUACUGGGCGUAAAGCGUGCGCAGGCGGUUGUGCAAGACAGAUGUGAAAAUCCCCCGGGGCUUAAACCUGGGAAUGGCAUUUGUGACUGCACGGCUAGAGUGUGUCAGAGGGGGGUAGAAUUCCACGUGUAGCAGUGAAAUGCGUAGAUAUGUGGAGGAACACCGAUGGCGAAGGCAGCCCCCUGGGAUAACACUGACGCUCAUGCACGAAAGCGUGGGGAGCAAACAGGAUUAGAUACCCUGGUAGUCCACGCCCUAAAGCGAUGUCAACUAGUUGUC
This 483-nucleotide ribosomal RNA is filed under the name uncultured bacterium. RNAcentral describes it as "partial 16S ribosomal RNA". It matches the Rfam family "Bacterial small subunit ribosomal RNA", at positions 355 to 824 of the family's 1533-position model. The record is from RNAcentral.